UGGGGAAUAUUGCACAAUGGGCGCAAGCCUGAUGCAGCCAUGCCGCGUGUAUGAAGAAGGCCUUCGGGUUGUAAAGUACUUUCAGUCGGGAGGAAGGUGGUAAGGUUAAUAACCUUAUCAAUUGACGUUACCGACAGAAGAAGCACCGGCUAACUCCGUGCCAGCAGCCGCGGUAAUACGGAGGGUGCAAGCGUUAAUCGGAAUUACUGGGCGUAAAGCGCACGCAGGCGGUUGAUUGAGUCAGAUGUGAAAUCCCCGGGCUUAACCCGGGAAUUGCAUCUGAUACUGGUCAGCUAGAGUCUUGUAGAGGGGGGUAGAAUUCCAUGUGUAGCGGUGAAAUGCGUAGAGAUGUGGAGGAAUACCGGUGGCGAAGGCGGCCCCUUGGACAAAGACUGACGCUCAGGUGCGAAAGCGUGGGGAGCAAACAGG
Molecule: ribosomal RNA, 429 nt
Filed under: Chloroflexota bacterium
Lineage: Bacteria; Bacillati; Chloroflexota
Description: Chloroflexi bacterium partial 16S ribosomal RNA
Rfam family: Bacterial small subunit ribosomal RNA
Source: RNAcentral